This 528-nucleotide ribosomal RNA is filed under the name uncultured Entrophospora. RNAcentral's name for it is "SSU rRNA". It matches the Rfam family "Eukaryotic small subunit ribosomal RNA", at positions 591 to 1113 of the family's 1831-position model. Lineage: Eukaryota; Fungi; Glomeromycota; Glomeromycetes; Entrophosporales; Entrophosporaceae. The record is from RNAcentral.
CCAAUAGCGUAUAUUAAAGUUGUUGCAGUUAAAAAGCUCGUAGUUGAAUUUCGGGAUUGGCGCAUCGGUCGUGCCUCACGGGGUAUGAACUGGUGCAGUCAAUUUCUCACCUUCUGGAGAACCGCGAUGUCCUUAAUUGGAUGCCGCGGGGAACCAGGACCUUUACUUUGAAAAAAUUAGAGUGUUUAAAGCAGGCAUUUUUGCUUGAAUACAUUAGCAUGGAAUAAUAAAAUAGGACGGCAUGGUUCUAUUUUGUUGGUUUCUAGGACCACCGUAAUGAUUAAUAAGGAUAGUUGGGGGCAUUAGUAUUCAAUUGUCAGAGGUGAAAUUCUUGGAGUUAUUGAAGACUAACUACUGCGAAAGCAGUUGCCAAGGAUGUUUUCAUUAAUCAAGAACGAAAGUUAGGGGAUCGAAGACGAUCAGAUACCGUCGUAGUCUUAACCAUAAACUAUGCCGACUAGGAAUCAGACGAUGUUAAUUUUUUAAUGACUCGUUUGGCACCUUACGGGAAACCAAAGUGUUUGGGUC